Anaerolineaceae bacterium 4572_5.1 is the source of this 73-nucleotide non-coding RNA. The record is from Rfam. NCBI's taxonomy places the organism in Bacteria, Bacillati, Chloroflexota, Anaerolineae, Anaerolineales, Anaerolineaceae.
GGCCCGCUAGCUCAAUUGGCAGAGCAACUGACUCUUAAUCAGUAGGUUACAGGUUCGAUUCCUGUGCGGGUCA